CACAGGCAAAUUGUUUGCACCUGUGCUCCCCAGGUGACCAGAAGGGGUGGACUAAGAGUGGAGCCCCCCUGUGCUCAUAUAAAGGCCAGACACUGAAGGGAGAGCAACUCUUGGAUCUGGGUUGCUUGCUGAGGAGUGCUGCACAGUCAGGAGCCUCUUCACCAGCUGGAGAUGUGAGAUAGAUCCCUGGUUGACUCUACUCGCACCCUGCCUGCUUGGACUUAUGCUGGUUGUCAAAAUGAAAAAGCCUGGGGAAACCAGUGAAUUAUGAACGUGAGAGGCAGCUCCUCCAGACUUCUCUGCAAAGAAAGAGUAGAAUUCUGCAUUUUGCCAGAUCCUGCUGGGAAACAGCUGUGUUUAUACUUUGCACAUCUGUCAGAGCAGGCUGCUGAGAUCUCCAGAUCUGAGGACUGUCCCAGCUGAUUUAGCUCCUGGACACCUUUAGCUUCUGUCAUGGAUUCCUGCUUAUGAAUAGAUAAAACAGUGUACUGAAAGCUGCUGGGCAAAACUGUUGUGCUGAAUCCUUGGCAAGUUUCAGAAAGACAAACGCGAUGUUGUCAGACCAUCACCCAGUACAGUUGCAGUCACUCAACAGGCCAAAAGCAAGAUCCUGAUCUUGGGCAUCUCAGGAGCUGGACAUGAUGGCCCUGGGGAGUUCCUUCCAUCUCAGGAUAAUCUGAUUGCUGAACUGCUACUUACAGCUUUUCACAGCCUUCCUACUUGUUCUUGUUCAGUGCGUCUGUUUGAAAGUGUCUUGAAGAUGAAGUUAUUUCCUGGAGGAAUUCUGAAGGCAACAAGAAGCAUUUUCUCAAGGAGGGAAAAAAAAAAAACCAAACCCUGGAGUGACUUGUGCCUAAAUCCUGGAGCAGAACAGAGUGGCAGCCAGGGCUGCUUACCAGGACAGCAUUUUUGCCUUUUUGUCUCUCUGGGGAUUCUCAAGUAGGAAAGAAAACUGUGGUGUUACUGCUGGGAGGAUUUUUCCUGAUCCUGAGGGAAUCCAUUCUGGAAGCUUGAUCCAAAUGACAGCUGCCUCCAAUUACCACUCUACACAUUGCUGUGGUUAUUUGGUUACAAUCAAGACUGGAGGCUUGAUGACAGCUAGAAGUACCAGCAAGGAAACCUCAGAUGGUUCAGGCUACAGCAGCAUGGGUGCAGGACAACCUGGAUGAAAGUCAGCAGAACAUCUACAGGGCUAAUUAGGACCAUGACCUUGAAAAGGCAUUUUCCAGUACUGUUCACUUAGGUUGAAGCUAGAGACAGAGGAAGGUAUGCACUUCCCAUUAUGAGUGCUACUCCUAAGUUUUCCAACAGGUGCCAAGUAUGGUGGCUUUGAAAUGUAUUUUGGAGAGCUGACAAAGUGGUUAAAGCAGAUAAUUCAUAACAGGCUGUACUAAGACCAAAAAAACCCCACCAACUGGAGUGGUCAUUAAUUUGUGAGGUGAGCAGGCAGCACUCACCAAGCAAGUGGUGCACUGCCUGUUUCCCAGCCUGCCUCCAAACAUCUGCGCGCCUCAGAAGCAAGUGUAAUGUUAUUCUCCCAAGGUGACCCCCUGCUCUGCACUGCAGGAGAAUGAUGGUGAUGUUACAGGCUGGAAUGGAGUAGCAGAAGAUGAUUCAAGCAAGGCUCAUCUUUCCCCCAACUUCUGAAAUAGCCAUGGGAGCCCUUCAUGGCAAGCUGCCCAUGGCAGGAACCAGUCAGAACCUGCUUCUCCCUGAUGGAAGCCAUCAAGGAAGAGAUGAACAGGAGACUUUGUAAAUGUCUUUAUAACAUGGAAAGCUUUGGAUUUAUGGUGAUAAAUAAUGUUUUCCGCAGUAUGCAUCAACCUGAUUAAUUUCUUUCUAAAUUUAUAGCUUGUGUGUCCUUUAAUCUAUCUUGUGCCAUAGCAACAAUAACAAGCUGAUUGCUGUACCAUUUCAAUCAGCAUCAGUGGCAGUGAGCAGAUGUAUCACUGCCUCAACAAUAGCAUAGGUUUCGUUUCUGAAAAACAUUACUUAGGGCUUUUACUCCAGUUGCAGACGUUAUCUUUUUGUUUUCUGAACUUCUGGUGAAGGAGAACUAACAGUGCUAUAUAAUGCUUUGUGUUUAAUGGAUCUUGUGGUAAGAAGGAUUGAAAAGCAAUACAAGCAGAAAG
Molecule: long non-coding RNA, 2132 nt
Organism: Gallus gallus (chicken)
Lineage: Eukaryota; Metazoa; Chordata; Aves; Galliformes; Phasianidae
Source: Ensembl